Molecule: RNA transcript, 1540 nt
Organism: Cynoglossus semilaevis (tongue sole)
Lineage: Eukaryota; Metazoa; Chordata; Actinopteri; Pleuronectiformes; Cynoglossidae
Gene: pttg1
Gene name: PTTG1 regulator of sister chromatid separation, securin
Exons: 7
Source: RefSeq, a predicted model, not a curated record
AAAAGGAGCCGCGGCGACUUUCAAUUUGAUUUUCUGAUUUUUCUAUUCAGUGUUUGCUCAGCGAGUUUGACCACCGAUACGGUAACUAUAACUACAAUGAGCACUGUAAGCUUCGCAGAGCAGGAAAAUGCGUGCCUUUCUGUUCCUUCUUUAAAGAUGCGACAGAGACUUCACUCUGCCCCAGAGAACCAGAAGUCAACUCUGAUAAAAGGUAAAACCUUCAGCACUCCCUUGCCACCUUCUGGACGUAGAGCAUUAGGUGUCGUCACUGAAAACGCAACCCCUUCGGUUCAGCCGCGUGAGAAAAAACUGCUGAAGCCUCAGCAGGAGCUGAAGGUUGAAGCUGUCGCUCAGGCAAAAGUGGAAGAGCUUCCUGACGUUGAGACGCUCCACCAUCAUGAUCCACUUGAGUUUCAGAAAUACGACAUCCCUGAGGACGUUCUGCUUCUCCGUGGCCUUUGUCUUCAUGGACUGGCAUCAUUCCCUCCCUCUCUUGGUCAACACGAGGAAAGCUUUGAGCCUCUUCCAGUACAACCACUCCCAGAGAUGCAGAAAAAUUCAGAUAACUACUCAGAGUUGGAUACCUUUCUUCAGAUCAUCGAUGAGCUGACCAUUGCUCUUCCUCCAGAACCAUUCACGGACUAAUUGUGUUGUUUUUGUGUGUUUUUAAUUCUGUAAUAAAGUGACUUUAUUCAUUUUUAUGACAUUUUUAAUGACUUCAGUUGAGGUUAACGUUCAAAACUUUUAAUAUUAAAUUCAAUGUUUAGUGAUGACGGAUGUUGACUAAAACUAAAUGUUUUGCCAAUUCAAUUAAAUACACUACAAAGUGACUCAUGAACUGUAUUCCUGUGUACAAUUGAUAUUACUUAAGGAGUAGAGUAUACAUGUAUUGCACAAGGUCACUUACCAAGGUGGUUGCGUUCCUGUAGGCCAGACAACAUGGGCUGCUGAGAUUCAAAGACCUAACAGAGGAUAAAGGUUAGCCAGACUGCUAACCUCAGUGGGGAAACUAAGGAAGUCCAGUGAUGUUUCAACACCUGGGAAGUUCCUAUCCUGCAAGGCAAGAGAGGAAAAUUGAAAAUAUGGCACUUUGAGUAAGGGUGUUGAUGAAAAUGCAUCAUAACAUACAUUAAAAAUAAAUCAGAUUUUGCUAAACAUGUUUGUACAAUUUGCUGUUUGUUUUUGUGUAGGAAUGCCUCAACUUUUACAUACUGACAUUAAACAAUUGUUCUCUCCCAAUCUUAAAAACAAUUGCUACUUCAAUAUAAAGCUCUCUGGAGUAGAGGAUGAAAAUUAGUGUUAGCGGCUGUGAAGCGUUCACUGUUUAUACUUCCUGUUUUUUCUUUCAGUUCCUGGUCACAUGUGCAGGAUUUUCUAACACUGGUUUUACUGUUAGAGAUUAGAAUGGACUUUGCCUCAGUUCCUCUGCUUAAACAAACGCCCUGAAGCUUUGACUGAAAUCGUCUUCUGCACAAAAACUACUGGGCUUUGGACUGAGAACAGGAAACCAGAAAAUUGUUCCAGUGUUCGGGGAAAAAAA